UUCAAAGCUGAAGAGGGCCGACGGGGCUACCUAUUGAUCCCGGAACAUCGCGGUGUUAACGUCCCGAAACAGCGGUGUACAACUGCGAUUGAUCGGCAUACGAUAAGAUAGCCGGCCGUAUAUGUGUAUCAUCCGAUCCAGAAAUAACGAAACGAGUCCGAGAGCGGGGCCGAUCUUUUGCAGAACACCUGAACCCGAAAGCUUUUCGAGGACGCUCAAUUACACCCUUUCACCGCCACCAACUGUCCUGUUGAAAAAGCUGAAGAGUUUAAUGAAGACGCUUCGCGGGUGACUAGUGAACAUAAUUCAGUAGCAGCUGUUCGAGAAUUAACUCAAACGUUUUUGACUAACUGUAUGAUUCCUGUGAUGCGCAAUUAAACAUUUCUCGGCUGUUAUAUAAAUUGUCUUAUAUUUUAAGAAAUAUAAAAGCUGAACUUUCGUGAUUACUUCGAUAACACCGAGGUUGAGAGAAUCAGAAGUGCUAAAAAUAAAAGACGCAAUUUGCUGAUUCGA
This is a non-coding RNA of Megalopta genalis, 513 nucleotides long. NCBI's taxonomy places the organism in Eukaryota, Metazoa, Arthropoda, Insecta, Hymenoptera, Halictidae. The record is from RefSeq and is a predicted model, not a curated record.